RNAcentral lists this ribosomal RNA (218 nucleotides) under uncultured bacterium. RNAcentral describes it as "partial 16S ribosomal RNA". It matches the Rfam family "Bacterial small subunit ribosomal RNA", at positions 129 to 334 of the family's 1533-position model. The record is from RNAcentral.
CCCUAUGGAUCGGGAUAACUGUUCGAAAGGAUAGCUAAUACCGGAUAAGCAUAUUGACCUGGGUUGAUAUGGAAAUGAUUGGGACUUUUCGAAGCCAAUCGCCGUUGGAGUGGUUUGCGGCCCAUCAGCUAGUUGGCGAGGUAAAAGCUCACCAAGGCGAAGACGGGUAGCUGGUCUGAGAGGAUGAUCAGCCACACUGGAACUGAGACACGGUCCAG